GGUAGAGUGCAGCUCAGUGGUAGAGUGUGUGAUUAGCACACACAAGGUCCUAGGUUCAAUCCCCAGUACCUCCA
Molecule: transfer RNA, 74 nt
Organism: Camelus ferus (Wild Bactrian camel)
Lineage: Eukaryota; Metazoa; Chordata; Mammalia; Artiodactyla; Camelidae
Rfam family: tRNA
About the family: Transfer RNA (tRNA) molecules are approximately 80 nucleotides in length. Their secondary structure includes four short double-helical elements and three loops (D, anti-codon, and T loops).
Source: Rfam